This 339-nucleotide unclassified non-coding RNA is filed under the name soil metagenome. RNAcentral describes it as "partial contains 5.8S ribosomal RNA, internal transcribed spacer 2, and large subunit ribosomal RNA". The stretch from base 1 to 120 matches the Rfam family "5.8S ribosomal RNA", at positions 35 to 154 of the family's 154-position model. The record is from RNAcentral.
GAUGAAGAACGCAGCGAAAUGCGAUAACUAAUGUGAAUUGCAGAAUUCAGUGAAUCAUCGAGUCUUUGAACGCACAUUGCGCCCCCUGGUAUUCCGGGGGGCAUGCCUGUCCGAGCGUCAUUGCUGCCCUCAAGCACGGCUUGUGUGUUGGGCUCCGUCCCCCCGGGGACGGGCCCGAAAGGCAGCGGCGGCACCGAGUCCGGUCCUCGAGCGUAUGGGGCUUUGUCACCCGCUCUGUAGGCCCGGCCGGGGCCAGCCGACAACCCAUCAUCCUUUUCAGGUUGACCUCGGAUCAGGUAGGGAUACCCGCUGAACUUAAGCAUAUCAAUAAGCGGAGGA